Molecule: ribosomal RNA, 245 nt
Filed under: uncultured bacterium
Lineage: Bacteria
Description: partial 16S ribosomal RNA
Rfam family: Bacterial small subunit ribosomal RNA
Source: RNAcentral
UACGGAGGGGACAAGCGUUGUUCGGAUUUACUGGGCGUAAAGGGUGCGCAGGCUGAUAGAUAAGUGGAUUGUGAAAUCCUAAGGCUCAACUUUAGAAUUGCUUUCCAAACUAUCUAUCUUGAGUAUGGGAGAGGUAAGUGGAAUUCUCGGUGUAGCGGUGAAAUGCGUAGAUAUCGAGAGGAACACCAAUAGUGAAGACGGCUUACUAGCCCAAUACUGACGCUCAUGCACGAAGGUUAGGGGAG